CCUACGGGUGGCAGCAGUGGGGAAUAUUGCACAAUGGGGGGAACCCUGAUGCAGCGACGCCGCGUGGGUGAGGCAGUACUUCGGUAUGUAAAGCCCUAUCAGCAGGGAAGAAAAUGACGGUACCUGACUAAGAAGCCCCGGCUAACUACGUGCCAGCCGCCGCGGUAAUACGUAGGGGGCAAGCGUUAUCCGGAUUUAUUGGGUUUAAAGGGUGCGUAGGCGGACAGUCAAGUCAGCGGUAAAAAUGCGGUGCGCAACGCCGUACAGCCGUUGAAACUGGCAGUCUUGAGUGGGCGAGAAGUAUGCGGAAUGCGUGGUGUAGCGGUGAAAUGCAUAGAUAGCACGCAGAACUCCGAUUGCGAAGGCAGCAUACCGGCGCCCGACUGACGCUGAGGCACGAAAGCGUGGGUAUCGAACAGGAUUAGAUACCCGAGUAGUC
This 439-nucleotide ribosomal RNA is filed under the name uncultured bacterium. RNAcentral describes it as "partial 16S ribosomal RNA". It matches the Rfam family "Bacterial small subunit ribosomal RNA", at positions 338 to 795 of the family's 1533-position model. The record is from RNAcentral.